RNAcentral lists this long non-coding RNA (986 nucleotides) under Citrus x clementina. Its description in RNAcentral is "Citrus clementina (C. clementina) long non-coding RNA (CCLE_LNC003941)". The record is from RNAcentral. Lineage: Eukaryota; Viridiplantae; Streptophyta; Magnoliopsida; Sapindales; Rutaceae.
AAAGCAAAUAUUUUAGUUCUAAUGAUAGCAAAUAUAAACCUCUUGCAUAUCACCUUAAAAGCUUAUUCUAGUUGAUGAUUAAACAACUGAAUAUUUUUCCAAAUGCGCUUGGACUCCAUAGUGGGCGGCCUUUUUGUUUUCACUGAGAGGCGAUAAUAUAUUCAAGACUAUCCCUUUCGUUUUAUAACCAAUAUUAUUGUCCACUCGAUCUUUAACUGAACAUUGAUGAAUAUGAUAAUAAUUGUGUCAACAUUUAGUGCAUAAAUCAGCUCAAUGAUCCUAGUUGCUUUGGGAAUCUUGUUAGCAAGGGUGUUAACAAUCACUUGGCUAUUACUUACCACACACAACUCUUGAUGAGACAUCUCUAUUUAUAAUAAUUAGUAAAUGAAUUCUUGUCUUAAACAAGAGACUCCUUAAAAUCAAUAGUUUUCAAAUUAAAAGAUAAAUAAUAAUAAUAAUCAUUCAUAAAUUUGAGAAAAAAUUUGUCAAUGUAAAUUGACUUAUGUAAUGGUGAUAAAAAAAAAAGGGAGUUGGAUUGAUGCAUUACUUAUGUCUAGUUGGAAUAAGAUCUUCUUCUGAUCUGAGCACUAUUGAGCUUUUAAUGAUUUUUUACCAUGUGUCUUUUAGUGGUAGUGUAUGGGUAAUAUUUAACUUCUUUUACUUUUUUAUUUAUUAAUAAUCAAUCAGUGAUUGAGUUAUUUACUCAGGACAUGAUCAGAUCAGGAGAAAAUCAUAAUUCUAUCUAGUUAAGACUGUAUGGAGGGAAAAUAAAAGGAAGUAAUUGUUUACUUUUUCUUCUUUUAGGAAACCUGAUAGUAAUAGAUUGUAAGUUGUGAUAUAUUUGGAGCAUAUGAAACAAUAAGAAAUUAACAUCAAAUGUUCUACAGUUUUAUACACCUUUCAACAAUAUUUUCUCUCUUAGUCUUAUCAAUACAUAUCACUCAUGUUGUUUUUGAAAAAGUCAUAGAUACUCUCGGUGUCUAUUU